RNAcentral lists this long non-coding RNA (471 nucleotides) under Struthio camelus australis. RNAcentral describes it as "lncRNA (ENSSCUG00000009538.1)". The record is from RNAcentral. Lineage: Eukaryota; Metazoa; Chordata; Aves; Struthioniformes; Struthionidae.
GGGAAAACAGGGAGGAGGGGAGAAGGGGCCGGUCGCCGGCGAGCAGGGAAGCCCGCUUGCGUGCCAGAGCGCCGGCCUGUCCCACUGCCUUACUAAGUCCUUACCUACUUCGGCUGGGUUACCUCCCUCUGCCCUCCGCCGAGCGCCACAGGGGCCAGGCGGGGCAGCUGGAGAGCGGGCUGGCGUCACGGGGCCCACGCACCUGUGCGCUGGCAAAGGGGGCCCUGGGCUGCAUGUGCCAGAGGCCUAAAUGCCAGCAGCUGGGGACACCUAGGCGCGUUUAUUCUUCCCCAGUGAAUUUAAUCCUGUGUGCACGUGCUUUUGUGCGUAAUUCGCCAGCAAACUUCAAGCUGGGCUUAGCCAGUGAGGAGGUGGAGACCUGCAUCUGGAGAGACCCGAAGCCUGAGCCAGCGGCCUGAAAUGAUGAAGUUGCUCUCGAAAUUUUUGAGAUACGCCAAUGCUCCACUAGUA